RNAcentral lists this ribosomal RNA (827 nucleotides) under Hypoderma carinatum. Its description in RNAcentral is "mitochondrial SSU rRNA". It matches the Rfam family "Bacterial small subunit ribosomal RNA", at positions 401 to 1169 of the family's 1533-position model. Lineage: Eukaryota; Fungi; Ascomycota; Leotiomycetes; Rhytismatales; Rhytismataceae. The record is from RNAcentral.
UUGGGGGAAUGUAUUGUCCUUUUAUUAGGCCAGUUGUGUUUUUAGAAUGGUAAAGGUAUAAAAGCAUAAAACCAGCUACGUUGGAUAAAAUUCUAGAUAGAAUACUGAUUAUGACUAUUUUCUAUCUAUAUGUCUUGACCAAAUUACGUGCCAGCAGUCGCGGUAAUACGUAGAAGACUAGUGUUAUUCAUCUUUAAUAGGUUUAAAGGGUACCUAGACGGUAUUAUUAACCCAAAACAGGGAAAUAUUUUUACUAGAGUUUGAUAUAAGAAGGGAGUAUUUUGGGAGUAGAGUUAAAAUUCUUUGAUACCCAUAGGACUGGUAAUGGCGAAAGCACUCUUUUAUGUAAUAACUGACGUUAAGGGACGAAGGCUUGGGGCGCGAACAGGAUUAGAGACCCUAGUAGUCCAUGCAGAUAAUUAUGAAUGUCAUAGACUAGAUAUAUUUUAGUUUAUAAAUGAAAGUGUAAGCAUUCCACCUCAAGAGUACUGUGGCAACGCUGGAACUGAAAUCAUUAGACCGUUUCUGAGAACAGUAGUGAAGUAUGUUAUAUAAUUCGAUAGUCCUCGUAAAACCUUACCACAACUUGAAUUGUGUUCUAUAUAUAUUUUAUAUUCAAAUAAUAGCAAUCUAGAUAACUUAAAAUUAUUUUAGCUAUAUCUGAAUAACCAUAUAAAAUUAAUAAGGAUGCUACAAGUGUUGCACGGUUGUCUUCAGCUAAUGUCGUGAGAUUAUGGUUAGAUCCAUAAAAUUAGCGUAAACCCCGGUUUUAUUUUUUAAUUAUUAUUAUGAUAAAGCAGUACAGUCAUUAUAACGAUAUGUGAUAA